UUAAAAGAAUCUGAAUCAAAUCUCAAGCUGAAUGCAUGUGUACAUGCGAAGGCUAGAUCCCUCUAUCUAUGCUUGAUGCUGUCUGCUAUAGAUUUCAUGGUGGUAAAGUCUUAGAGAGCAUACAUUUAUUCAUUACGUCAACAAAAUAGUGCUAACCAUGAGAUGCAUCUUGCCCAGAAUUUGUUGUGGUUGUAAAUGAAUGUCUCAAACAUUGCUCAUUGGUAAUUCUAUGUUUAAGUUGAAAGUUGGUACC
Molecule: long non-coding RNA, 253 nt
Filed under: Olea europaea (common olive)
Lineage: Eukaryota; Viridiplantae; Streptophyta; Magnoliopsida; Lamiales; Oleaceae
Description: long non-coding RNA (OEUR_LNC013446)
Source: RNAcentral